RNAcentral lists this ribosomal RNA (313 nucleotides) under uncultured Tomentella. RNAcentral's name for it is "eukaryotic LSU rRNA". The record is from RNAcentral. Lineage: Eukaryota; Fungi; Basidiomycota; Agaricomycetes; Thelephorales; Thelephoraceae.
AACGCACCUUGCGCCCCUUGGUUAUUCCUCGGGGCAUGCCUGUUUGAGUAUCAUGAACACCUCAACUCUCAUGGCCUCCAUGAUGAGCUUGGACUUUGGAGGUUUGCUGACCCUUGCUGCCGGCUCCUCUCAAAUGAAUCAGCUUGCCAGUGUUUGGUGGCAUCACGGGUGUGAUAACUAUCUACGCUUGUGGUCGUCUGCCAGGUAACCCUCAGCGAUGAAGGUUCAUUGGGGCUCACAAAUGUCUCUCCUCGGUGAGGACAACUUUUGAACGUUCGAUCUCAAAUCAGGUAGGAUUACCCGCUGAACUUAA